ACGUACACUCCUACGGGAGGCAGCAGUGGGGAAUAUUGGACAAUGGGCGCAGGCCUGAUCCAGCCAUGCCGCGUGAGUGAUGAAGGCCCUAGGGUUGUAAAGCUCUUUCACCGGUGAAGAUAAUGACGGUAACCGGAGAAGAAGCCCCGGCUAACUUCGUGCCAGCAGCCGCGGUAAUACGAAGGGGGCUAGCGUUGUUCGGAUUUACUGGGCGUAAAGCGCACGUAGGCGGACUAUUAAGUCAGGGGUGAAAUCCCGGGGCUCAACCCCGGAACUGCCUUUGAUACUGGUAGUCUUGAGUUCGAGAGAGGUGAGUGGAAUUCCGAGUGUAGAGGUGAAAUUCGUAGAUAUUCGGAGGAACACCAGUGGCGAAGGCGGCUCACUGGCUCGAUACUGACGCUGAGGUGCGAAAGCGUGGGGAGCAAACAGGAUUAGAUACCCCGGUAGUCCCAUG
RNAcentral lists this ribosomal RNA (454 nucleotides) under uncultured organism. Its description in RNAcentral is "partial 16S ribosomal RNA". It matches the Rfam family "Bacterial small subunit ribosomal RNA", at positions 329 to 799 of the family's 1533-position model. The record is from RNAcentral.